CUUCGGUCAUAGAUUAAGCCAUGCAAGUGUUAGUUCAGGCAACGAAACUGCGAACAGCUCAUUAAUACGCUCAGAACCUAUUUGGUUUCGGCCCGCUGGGGUCCAACACGGAUAGCAGCAGUAAUUCUGGUGCUAAUACGUGCAGUUUAACCACCUGAGAUGACGUAAGGUGAGGACAUGACCAUUAGGCGUACCAUACGGUUGAGUGCCCUAUCAGCUUGUACGUAGUGUCUCUUACUAUGUAGGCGGUCACGGGUAACGGGCGGUUAUCGUCGGACUGCCGGAGAAGGCGCCUGAGAGACAGCGACUAUUUCCAUGGAAAGCAGCAGGCGCGAAACUUCCCCACUCAAAAAGCUUGGAGGGGGUCACCGCUCGUUGAACCUCGUCGCAAGACAGGGUCAUAGGAUUGUAUGUAAAAUGUACAGUGGAACCUAGGAGAUGGCCAGUCUGGUGCCAGCAGCUGCGGUAAGUCCAGCUCUCCGAGUUUGCUCCCAAUGCUACACUUAAAACGCCCGUAGUCUGAGUGAGAAGCGCGAAUAGCGCGUUCACCGUGAAUAAAUCAGGAUGCUUAGAGUAGUUGACAACUGAAUGACUAAGCUCGGUAUGAAAUCUUUACCCGUAUGGGUGAGAUCAAUGAGAGCCAUCGGGGCCUGACCUACCUGGUGGCGAGGGGCGGAAUCUGUUGACCCGCCGGGGAGGAACGAAUGCGAAGGCAUCAGGCUAGAGGGUAUCUGUCGAUCAAGGGCGAGAGCCGCAGUAGCCAACCGGAUUAGAGACCCGGGUAGUUGCGGCCUUAAACGAUGCCGACAGGGCCUCGUCUGUAGAGGCGGGGUCCUAGGAGAAAUCAUAGUCUCUGGGCUGUGGGGGAACUACGACCGCAAGGCUGAAACUUGAAGGAAUUGACGGAAGGGCACACCAGGGGUGGAGCUUGUGGCUCAAUCUGACUCAACACGGAGAAACUUACCAGGACCAGAUAUUUUUUAAUGACUGACCAGCUAAAGACUGUUCAGGAUAUGAUUUUUGGUGGUGCAUGGCCGUUGGUGGUGCGUGGAUUGAUCUGUCAUGCGUCGAUUCAGAUAACGAGCGAGACUACCACCGAUUACCUAGACCACUCUACUCUCGUAGAGCUGGUCUUCUAAUCGGGACUCCCUGCGUCUCAAGCAGGCGGAAGAGGGUAGCAAUAACAGGUCCGUGAUGUCCUUUAGAUGCUCUGGGCUGCACGCGCGCUACAAUGCUGUGGUCAAAGGGUUGCAAAACCGAGAGGCUAUGCUACUCCCGUAAUCCGCAGCGUAGUUAGGAUCGAGGGUUGUAAUCACCUUCGUGAAUCAGGAAUCCCUUGUAAGCGUGUAUCAACAGUGAACGUUGAAUACGUCCCUGCCCUUUGUACACACCGCCCGUCGCUCCUACCGAUUGGAUGGAUCGGUGAAACUAUCGGAGGCUUCGGUCAAAGGUAGUUGAGCCCAUCGAUUUAGAGGAAGGAGAAGUCGUAACAAGG
Molecule: ribosomal RNA, 1495 nt
Filed under: Holomastigotoides sp. Ht3
Lineage: Eukaryota; Parabasalia; Holomastigotoidida; Holomastigotoididae
Description: SSU rRNA
Rfam family: Eukaryotic small subunit ribosomal RNA
Source: RNAcentral